RNAcentral lists this ribosomal RNA (577 nucleotides) under uncultured Nitrosomonadaceae bacterium. Its description in RNAcentral is "bacterial SSU rRNA". It matches the Rfam family "Bacterial small subunit ribosomal RNA", at positions 790 to 1368 of the family's 1533-position model. Lineage: Bacteria; Pseudomonadati; Pseudomonadota; Betaproteobacteria; Nitrosomonadales; Nitrosomonadaceae. The record is from RNAcentral.
GUAGUCCACGCCCUAAACGAUGUCAACUGGUUGUCGGGGAAGUUAUUCCUUGGUAACGAAGCUAACGCGUGAAGUUGACCGCCUGGGGAGUACGGCCGCAAGGUUAAAACUCAAAGGAAUUGACGGGGACCCGCACAAGCGGUGGAUUAUGUGGAUUAAUUCGAUGCAACGCGAAAAACCUUACCUACCCUUGACAUGUGCGGAAGGGGGUAGAGAUACCUCGGUGCCCGAAAGGGAACCGCAACACAGGUGCUGCAUGGCUGUCGUCAGCUCGUGUCGUGAGAUGUUGGGUUAAGUCCCGCAACGAGCGCAACCCUUGUCAUUAGUUGCCACAUUCAGUUGGGCACUCUAGUGAGACUGCCGGUGACAAACCGGAGGAAGGUGGGGAUGACGUCAAGUCCUCAUGGCCCUUAUGGGUAGGGCUUCACGCGUAAUACAAUGGCCGGUACAGAGGGCUGCCAACCCGCGAGGGGGAGCAAAUCCCAGAAAGCCGGUCGUAGUCCGGAUUGUUCUCUGCAACUCGAGAGCAUGAAGUCGGAAUCGCUAGUAAUCGCGGAUCAGCAUGUCGCGGUGAAUA